CAGAAACCUAUCAAACCUUGUUGUUUAUAACAGGAACCAGCUAAACUUUGUUACAGAGGGUUGAAUGGCUUGUAACGUCGGAUGAAGGCAGAGAGAGAGUAAGACAAAGAAGAGCAGAGGGAAGGUCCAGAUCACCAGGCUGGGCUCCAGCGACAUCUCUGGUCUGGUUCUGGAUGUGUCUGCAAUGGUGGAAUGGCCGAAGCCAUCAGAGACCAAGUCACAGCCCCAAAAAUGGGUCAAAAAGGGACCUGGGCGCCCCGUCGGGCAGGAAAGGGCAGGCGGCGUCCGCGGGGCGGGCUGCAGGGAAAGGGCAACCUCAGCCCACCCACACUUCCCAGCACCGACGGGGCGGGCUUUCCCCCGCCUCAGCAAGUGCUGCGAGCCCAGCGCCGCCCCGAGGGGCCGGCGUGGGGCCGAGGAGGAGGAGGAGGAGGAAGAGGAGGAGGAGGAGGAGAAGGAGGAGGAGGAGGAGGAGGAGAAGGAGGAGGAGGAGGAGGAGGAAGGGGGCACCGCCCGUCCAGCCGCCCCCCGACGGCAGGGAGGGGCGUGGCUAUGCAAAUCGACCCCCUCAAGCAGCCAAUGGGAGGGCGAGGCGAGCCGCGGGGGCGUGGCUCCUCGCCGGGACUAGCGCUGGGCUCGACGGCGCGGCCGCUCCGACGGCACCGGCAGCGCGGGGAGCGAGGCGGGCGAAUUGGAUUCUACCAGAUCACAGAGAUCGUGGGUGGUGCUGCAUGUAUCUUUGGAGAUGAACUUCUCACAGGUGGCCUAGAUCCAUGCGUUCACUUGCUGAUGUCCAGCUGGUUACACCAGGAGCUCACUUGGCGAAGUGCCUGAGACUCGCAGCAGCGACUGAAGUCAGAAUUUACAAGGUACGGAGAACUGUUUCAAGUGUCUUAACUUGGCAUCGUAACUCAUCAAGUGUGAUAGUGUUGUCCUUAAUCACUGUGCGCUGAAAUCUGUGUCUGCAGAUUGGGCUGUUAGGACUGCCUUCCCCAGAGGACUCUGAGGAGUUUAUGGAGCAUUCCAGGGAUUAUCACAGGAGAAAACACUGAGGAAAUGAAAAGUAGUAACACAGCAAAUGAGAUAUCUAACCGUGAACUGAAUUAUAUUAAAUUUUAUGUUGUACAACAUUAUUUUUUUCAGCACAUACAGAUUGUAAGCAGAGACUUGGUGGAAGUGAUGGGAUGCAGGACAGUGUUUAAUUGCAUGAUCAUCCUGUGCAUAGGAGACAUUACUGUGCAAUCUGAGUCUACAUUUGACAGCUCCUUACUCUUAUUUUAAUGUUUGACUUUUUAUUCUUCCAUGUUUUGUUUUUUUUUUUUUAAAAAAAAAAAACAAAAAACUUUUUUUUUAUAGAGAUGCUGCAGAAUUAGUAUAUGCAUGAACUUAUUACAACAUUAGUAAUAUACAGUGUGAAGAUUUCUGUUUCUGCUUCUCCCUUUCUUUCUACAUUAUUUUAUGUAACACCUGACAUUAGUUGUGGGUGAGAAAGGCAAACUAUAAGAUGCCCUUUUGAGGGUAGGGGAAGGAAGGGUAGACCUUUUCCUAUAAAGUUAUGAGCUUAUUAUGCAAGAGUUCCUACUCAGUGUGGUUUUGUGUUUAAAUGUAAACUUUCCCCAGUCUUGGCCUAGAACUCUUGCUUCAGUUUUGAGUAGAAAAAAUGGUUAUUGUACUAAAUUCCUGAUGUAAGUGUAUGCGUACUUGAGUGCAUCUCUGAAUUAAAAUUGUUGGAAAUUUUUGGGUGCCUGAAGUCUGGAAGAAUACAAUAUAGUACCUUGUGGAUUUAACCAUUCUUAGGGUAUUUUUCCAGAGAAGUGCACCAGCUUUGUUAAGCACAUAAAAUAAAUUGUAAUUAUUGUUGAACCA
This 1866-nucleotide long non-coding RNA is filed under the name Anas platyrhynchos platyrhynchos (common mallard). RNAcentral describes it as "lncRNA (ENSAPLG00000025281.1)". The record is from RNAcentral. Lineage: Eukaryota; Metazoa; Chordata; Aves; Anseriformes; Anatidae.